GCCAUGCAUGUCUAAGUAUAAGCUUUUAUACGGUGAAACUGCGAAUGGCUCAUUAAAACAGUUAUAGUUUAUUUGAUGGUCGCUCACUACAUGGAUAACCGUGGUAAUUCUAGAGCUAAUACAUGCGUCAAAACCUGACUUCUCGGAAGGGUUGUGUUUAUUAGAUACAAAACCAAUCCAUGCUUGCAUGGUAUUGUGUUGAUUCAUAAUAACCGAUCGAAUCGCAUGGCGUAAGCCGGCGAUAAAUCAUUCAAGUUUCUGACCUAUCAACUUCCGACGGUAGGGUAUUGGCCUACCGUGGCUAUGACGGGUAACGGGGAAUUAGGGUUCGAUUCCGGAGAGGGAGCCUGAGAAACGGCUACCACAUCUAAGGAAGGCAGCAGGCGCGCAAAUUACCCAAUCCUGACACAGGGAGGUAGUGACAAGAAAUAACAAUACAGGGCAUUCUAUGUCUUGUAAUUGGAAUGAGUAGAUUUUAAACCUCUUUACGAGUAUCAAUUGGAGGGCAAGUCUGGUGCCAGCAGCCGCGGUAAUUCCAGCUCCAAUAGCGUAUAUUAAAGUUGUUGCAGUUAAAAAGCUCGUAGUUGGAUUUCUGUUCAAGACGACCGGUCCGCCUAUGGUGUGAUUCUGGUUUGACUUGGGCAUUUUUCUGGGGAACGUAGCUGCACUUGAGUGUGUGGUGCGGUAUCCAGGACUUUUACUUUGAGAAAAUUAGAGUGUUUCAAGCAGGCAUCUGCCUUGAAUACUACAGCAUGGAAUAAUGACAUAGGACUUCGGUUCUAUUUUGUUGGUUUCUGGGA
This 800-nucleotide ribosomal RNA is filed under the name uncultured apicomplexan. Its description in RNAcentral is "SSU rRNA". It matches the Rfam family "Eukaryotic small subunit ribosomal RNA", at positions 48 to 856 of the family's 1831-position model. The record is from RNAcentral. Lineage: Eukaryota; Apicomplexa.